CACUCCUACGGGAGGCAGCAGUGGGGAAUAUUGCACAAUGGGCGCAAGCCUGAUGCAGCCAUGCCGCGUGUAUGAAGAAGGCCUUCGGGUUGUAAAGUAUUUCAGCAGUGAGGAAGGUGGGUAUGUUAAUAGCAUACUCAUUUGACGUUAGCUGCAGAAGAAGCACCGGCUAACUCCGUGCCAGCGGCCGCGGUAAUACGGAGGGUGCGAGCGUUAAUCGGAAUUACUGGGCGUAAAGCGCAUGCAGGUGGUUUGUUAAGUCAGAUGUGAAAGCCCGGGGCUCAACCUCGGAAUUGCAUUUGAAACUGGCAAACUAGAGUACUGUAGAGGGGGUAGAAUUUCAGGUGUAGCGGUGAAAUGCGUAGAGAUCUGAAGGAAUACCGGUGGCGAAGGCGGCCCCCUGGACAGAUACUGACACUCAGAUGCGAAAGCGUGGGGAGCAAACAGGAUUAGAUACCCUGGUAG
RNAcentral lists this ribosomal RNA (465 nucleotides) under uncultured bacterium. RNAcentral's name for it is "bacterial SSU rRNA". It matches the Rfam family "Bacterial small subunit ribosomal RNA", at positions 334 to 793 of the family's 1533-position model. The record is from RNAcentral.